This 75-nucleotide transfer RNA is filed under the name Adlercreutzia equolifaciens subsp. celatus. RNAcentral's name for it is "tRNA-Thr". It matches the Rfam family "tRNA". From Rfam's summary of the family: Transfer RNA (tRNA) molecules are approximately 80 nucleotides in length. Their secondary structure includes four short double-helical elements and three loops (D, anti-codon, and T loops). RNAcentral also lists the same sequence under 16 other names. The record is from RNAcentral. Lineage: Bacteria; Bacillati; Actinomycetota; Coriobacteriia; Eggerthellales; Eggerthellaceae.
GCCGGUGUGGCUCAACGGUAGAGCAACUGAUUUGUAAUCAGUGGGUUGCGGGUUCGAUUCCUGUCACCGGCUCCA